CUUAGUUUUGGAAAGAGAGUUUGGAGAGAGAAGCAGAUGAGAAAUCAAUCAAUGGCGGACGUUAAUUUGACAAUUAUCCCUAACAAUGAUUCUUCUGUGCGCAAAGCAAAGAAUUAUGAUAGAUGUGCUUACUGCAAUGUAAAUAGAGCGGGUUAUCCAAAUUUGAAAUUGUUUCGCUUUCCUCAAAAUAUCGAAAUGUGCAAGAAAUGAUUAGAGGCCAGCAGAAUUGUAUCGUUACUGAAUGUUGAUACUGACAGACUGACUACACAACAGAUGUAGAUUGUGUUCAAGACAUUCUAAAAUUAAAGAUUAUGUAU
Molecule: long non-coding RNA, 317 nt
Organism: Parasteatoda tepidariorum (common house spider)
Lineage: Eukaryota; Metazoa; Arthropoda; Arachnida; Araneae; Theridiidae
Source: RefSeq, a predicted model, not a curated record